RNAcentral lists this long non-coding RNA (2760 nucleotides) under Homo sapiens (human). RNAcentral's name for it is "HSALNT0319380". Lineage: Eukaryota; Metazoa; Chordata; Mammalia; Primates; Hominidae. The record is from RNAcentral.
CUCCCAGAAGAAAUACAAUGUGAAGACACACAGGGAGAAGAUGGCCUUGUGACCAGGGAGAUGCAUCUACAGACCAACAAAUGCCAAGGAUUGCCAGAGAACAGAAAAAGCUGGAAGAAUCAAGGAAGGAUUCUCCCCUGGAGCCAUCAGAGAGAGCAUGCCCUGAUAUCACCUUGAUUCUUCACUUCUACCUUUCAGAAUUAAGGAAGCCAGCUGCCAUGCUUUGAGCUGCUCUAUGGAAAGGCACAUUUGGCAAGGAACUGAUGCCUCCAGUCAACAGCCAGCCAGGACUUGAGACCAGAUAAAGCCUGGAAGCUGCACGUCACCUGCCAGCUUUGUGUGUGCCCAGUGAGUGCAGGUGGCAUAAUGACCAGCGGUGACUUGAAUGACAAGGGGACAGAACAGCUGGACAAUCCAAUUCCUAGAUGCUUUCUCCAGUUAUGGCCCUGACUGGGAUCUCCGAAGAAUGACUCAGCUGAAACUGUCAGUGAGGAUGCUUACCUGUGGUCUCCCCAUCAUGGUGGUAUCAGGGUUGUUGAACACCUUACAUGGCUCCAAAAGCAAGUGUUCUGGAAUGUAAGGCAACAGCUGUGUGGUCUUUCAUAAUCCAGCAUCAGAAGUCACAUGGCAUCACUCCUGCUAAAAUUUCUUUGUGGAAGCAGCCACAAAACUGCCCAAAUUCAAGUAGAGGGCACACAGAUCUUAUUUUUUGAUGGGAGGACUCACAAAAAUUUUGCCACCAUAUUAUAAAAACACUAUAAGAUCUAAUAGUAACUUUAACUUUUUUUAACCAAUCCUUCUAUUUUCAGCCCAGACUUCACUUCCUUAUUCAGAUGUAUAAAUGUCUUCUGUGGCUUUGUGAUCAAAUCUGAAUGUUUCUUGGAUUUACCCCUGCCAGCUAAGGAUUUGGCCUUCUUUGAUCUGUUAAAUCAGUUCUCAAACACUGACUUGUUUUCCAUCUAAAAUAUCAGGGUGACCUUUAUCCCAUUCUCAUUGCUUUGAGGAUUUUGUGCCCCCUUUUUUAAAGUCACUUUCUAUGUAUUUUUAUAUGAGUGAGGUUUUGGGAGAAAGUACAGAUAAAUAUAUAUUCUCAAUCUACCACUUUAAUUGAAAAUUCUUGUUUUUUCUUUUACAAAAUUCCUAAUGUUUGCCUAACAAACAUUUAUUGAGAAACUGCUGUAUUUUCAGUAUGUGUUAAGGUCUGUGUACAUCUAUUUUAUAUACAUUAUCUUAUUUAAUAUGCUCAUUUAAUUUCCACAUCUUGUUUAACAUUUAUAAUCUUUUGAUUUGUUAAAUACAAUUUGUAGAAGACCAUUGGUUUAGCGUGAGCUGCACCAGGCCUGGCAGACCAAACCAAAAUGUAGUAUCUCAUACUAAAGUUCCAUGCCACCAAGCUGAAACUAAGUUGUUUAUCUGACUUUCCAAGAAGUCAGGAGAAAGAGAUAACAGUCAAAUCCCCAAAUAUGCUAGUUUGAGUUGGCAUGAUAGGAAAGUUCCUUCCACUUUAGCCUUUAUACGAAAGUAACUUUGGAAUGAUCAGUCUGCUUUUUGUUUCCUGUUUCUGUUUCAGCACUUUUUGUAAAGCCAACUUCUUCUCAGCACAUCAGAACACUCAUUCUACUUUAUAGAAUGAGGUAUAAUCUGAAUCUAAAAUCACAAAUAAAAGCCAAUUAAGAUUUUUAAAGUAAGUUUGUUGUAAUUUUGUCUUUUGACAGAUUUCAUCAUUGCCUACAUUUGUCUUCAGACGACCUGCAGUACAAACUUGGCUUAAACCUGCAGUUGACAAUGGUAACAGGAAUCUUAUUUUAAAAAAUAAUAUGCGCCACCAGCUAAGUUGGUCAUGAUGAGGUCUGGGCCUUGAUAGCCUUCUGGGUUUUAAUUCACACAAUAUGUUUGAAAAAAGAAAAAUCAAAGUAACUGUAAUUUUUUUGUAAAGCAAAAUACUUUUUAAAAGCCAUGAGGCACGUGUUACUCAAAGGGCUCCUUGGAUGAAUUAUUUUGUAAGGCAAAUGAUUUGUUAUAGUUCCAAUGACAUCUAAAUUUGCCAGUUGUAAAUACUGGAAUUUUUGGUCCUUGCAUUGAACUUACUGGUAUUGAUGUGCUAUAUAACUAAAUGUCUUCUAAAAGGAUUCACCGUGGGAGAAUAAAUUACAAUGGAUAAAAAACAGCAUUACAAUCCCUCAAUAAAAUGGGAUUUUAACAGACAAAGGUGAGUCAGUGGUGAAAGGCAGGAGAAGAUACAACAGGUAAGUGUCUGACUUCAGGCUGGAGCCCUAAUAUAAUAAUAAGUCCUUCUUGUAUUGUAAUCUCUUACAGCUGAAUCUCCAUGUGCUCUCUCUCUCUUCUAACAUCAAUGCAGCUCCUGGUAUGUGGUCGUUCUCAGGCCCAAAGGCCCAUUUUGCUUUUGGCUGCAACUCUGUAACUCUGUAACAGAGACCAAGUGCCUGCAGGGAGCAGAUGUUUGGGGCAGUAUCUGCUAAGGUGGCUUUGCUGAAACUUGUUUCUCUCAUUGGGUCUUGGAAGUGGCGAAUAGGACGUUCCUAUAGAAAAACUCAGAAAGAUAAUGAAGCUGCUAUUUGCAAGAACUGCAUCUGUCUGACUCUCAGACAGAUCUACACCAGUGUUUAGCAGACAUGCCAAAUGAUAAGAGUCAAUCACAGCCUCUGUAGAAAAUACUGGAACCCUGAUGUGGACUUACUGAAUCAGAAUCUCCAGGCAAUAAGCUUGAGAUUCUCUGGUUUGUAAAGCCAACCAAGUGAU